RNAcentral lists this ribosomal RNA (253 nucleotides) under uncultured bacterium. RNAcentral's name for it is "partial 16S ribosomal RNA". It matches the Rfam family "Bacterial small subunit ribosomal RNA", at positions 524 to 776 of the family's 1533-position model. The record is from RNAcentral.
UACGUAGGGGGCAAGCGUUGUCCGGAAUCAUUGGGCGUAAAGCGCACGUAGGCGGAUUGCUAAGUCAGGGGUGAAAUCCUGGAGCUCAACUCCAGAACUGCCUUUGAUACUGGUGAUCUUGAGUCCGGGAGAGGUGAGUGGAACUGCGAGUGUAGAGGUGAAAUUCGUAGAUAUUCGCAAGAACACCAGUGGCGAAGGCGGCUCACUGGCCCGAUACUGACGCUGAGGCACGAAAGCGUGGGGAGCAAACAGG